Mustela putorius furo (domestic ferret) is the source of this 1566-nucleotide long non-coding RNA. NCBI's taxonomy places the organism in Eukaryota, Metazoa, Chordata, Mammalia, Carnivora, Mustelidae. The record is from Ensembl.
CUCAGCGCCUCCAUGCAGCUUGCUGGAGCUCAGGAGCUUUCUCAGCACUGGAUUGGCAUCCUGCCGCUGGACUCAUUGAGUCCUGGGGCGUCGCCUCCGACGGGCUCUGGACGGGUAGAGUGGAAUGAAGUGUUAGCUUAGGAGGUGCAGUGCUAGGACUGGGUAGCGCUGAAGCUGCUGGUGGUCCUGGGCUUCCUGAGGAGCCUGUCUGAGGAAGUCACAGGUGCUGGUAGGGGAAUCCCGGGGGAAAACUGGGGCCCAAACCAGCACUUUGGGACUCCGAGCCGGAAGCCAACAAUAACUGGGAAAAAGUCCAGCCACGCUGAGGCGCUUUACUUUUGGCUGAGAAGAGAAGCAGGAAAGAUGACAAACCAAUGGGAUGUCUGUAGACCUCUGCUGGAACUUUUAGAUCUGGAGGCCAGAAGUUCCAGAUCAAGGUGCCAGCAAGGUUGGUUUCCAGUGAGCAUUUUCUUGUUGGCCUGUAGAUCGCUAUCUUUUCAACUGUGCCCUCAGAUGACCUAAGAUGACCUCAUCUCUGUGGGCCCCCAGAGGGAAGGUAGGGAGAGUGCUUUCAUGUGUUUCCCCCUUAUGAGGACACCAGUCCUAGCAAAUUAGGACUCCUGUGACCUCAUCAAACCUUCAUUACCUCCUUCUAGGCCCUAUCUCCAGAUGCAGUCACACUGGAGAUUAGGAAUUCUGCAUAUGACUUUUGUGGGGACACAAUUCAGUCCAUAAUAAUCAGUACAGGAGAAAAACCAUGGAAUGAAUUCUAGAGGAGUCACACGGUGAUGUUAUAAGGUAAGUGGGUAUAAAAGAGCACCUCUGAAGUCCAAUAGGGCAUUAGAGCUAGAGGCCAACAGGAAAGUCCUGCACGUGCCACAGUUUUGAGUUUGACACAAGUGCAACUCUGAAGUGAAGAUAUUUGGGAGGCCUUGGCCAACCACUACUUCCAGCCAGGGGUGAUUCUGGAGGGAAUAUCUCCCAGAGUGCUGCCUAGAAUCAAGACUUUGGGGUUGGAAAAGUGCCACUCCCAAAGCUGGAGAAGGAUGGUGCUGUAAGUUACUUGAAGAGUACUGUUCUGGGAGAUAGGAGAUCUGGGGUGUCCUCUUUGUUCUGCUGCUGACCAGAUGUGAAAAUGCAGGUUAACUCCCUAACCAUCUCAGUUCUACCACCAUGUGCUGCUGUCAUGUGUCCCAAGCCCCAGAGUUAGUUUUAUCCAUAACCAGAAGCCGGUCUUUUAGUUCCCAAUCUCUUAAUCGGGCCGAUUGUCACAAUAUAUAGCGCACAUGUGACAGCCACUGGGGAGAAGUAAGGGUUCUCUUCCCCUCAGGGAGAGUGGAAAGGCUCUAAGAGAGGGCAGACCACUAGGCCAAAGGCAGCCAGUGCCUGGGAGAGGAGGCACAGGGAAGAGUGUGCUGAUGACAGCCUUGUGGAGGGAGGGCAGAAAGAGCUACCACCAUGAGACUUGCAUCAUAGAUCGAGCCUGAGGACAGAGAAGGGGUCAGGGCACAAUAGAGCAGCAGCUGGCAAAGUGAUUCUGUUGAGCUUAAGCUCAUAGUGCCUUAG